This 10040-nucleotide long non-coding RNA is filed under the name Homo sapiens (human). RNAcentral's name for it is "HSALNT0143570". Lineage: Eukaryota; Metazoa; Chordata; Mammalia; Primates; Hominidae. The record is from RNAcentral.
AAAUGCCAAGUCACCGAAGGUACUCAUUUAUUCUAAAAAUAUCCACUAAGCAACCCUUUCUAAUAUGUGUUGUUCUAGGUUCUGGGAAAUAAGAAAUCAUUAGAAAAAGAUUUCUGCCUUCUAGAAGUACACAGUCUAAUGGUGAGAUAGGCAGGUAAGCUAUUACAACACAGUGAGAUAUGCACACGAGUAAAGCUGUUUUUCUUUGGUGUGCUCACAGUAAAGGGUAUAACUAACUCCAUCUGUGGGCUUCAGAAAGGGCUUCCCAGAGGAGGAUAUUUGAACUAGCUCUUGAAGGAUGAGAAAGAGUUUGCUUCAUAGAGAUAAAGGAGAGGAUAACAGCAGGUAGCAAAGCAGCAGUACACAAAGGUACUGAGUCCAGGCCUGGUCUCCUUUGGAAAUGGAGGAGGAGUAUAAGAGAAUUUUGUGGUAACAUCAGUAAGGAAAAAGAUGAAGGAGGGAGAGUAGAAAUGAGGCUGGAUGGGCGGUUUUGGAGGCCAACUGAGGAGGGUCUUACAUGCUAUGUUAACAGGCCUAGACUUCAUUCUAUAUGCAAACAGGGAGAUCCGGACUAAUGAGGGGUAUGUGUGUGUCCUUGUAUGUGCAUGUGCACGAAGGUGACAUAAUCAGGUAUGACUUUUAGAUGAUACUUGGUGACAAAGGAAGGGUGGAGAAUGUAAACUAGAGAAGCCUGGGAUAAUAUGGCUGCUUGGGAAUGGUGAGAAUUCUGGCAGCUGCAUUGCUGAUGAGUAAAGUGGAGGGAAGCUUUGGAAAAGUGUUUAGGGCCAAUCAGUAGAAGGUCAUACAUUCAUACUAAAGGGUUUGUUUCAAUAAGUAUAGCUAAAGAAUCCCACUCAUAGCUUUUUUUCCUGUGGUUUACAUGACAGUUAUUAAUGGCUCUCCUACUAGGAGCCUGACAUCAUGGUGAGCAUCGAGAAAGGAAUAACCUAAGCUGAAGACACGCCUUUUCAGGAGGCCAAGUUCCACGUUCUGUGCAUGCUUUUGGCGAAAGUCAGGUAAAGCCUCCAGAAAUGCAUGGUCUAUUCUCUCGGACCAUAUGGCUGUGGGCAAACUCUGGCUUCUUGGAGCCUCCAUUAGCCACCUAGGGAAAGGUAAUUGGCUUUAUGUUUGGCUCCAUCACUGCUGGCGACAAGCUCCACUGCAUUCUCAAGCAGUAGAUGAAAUACAACUGUGCUCCUGAAUGCAGCAAAGGAAAGAGAACCCAACUGGACCAGUGUGAAAUUGGGACCUUUGGAGGCAAGAAUGCACAUAUUUAUAAAUGAAUAAACAUAAUUUUUCUCUCUUCUUCCCAUUGGCAGCAUAUCUGAAGGCCCUGACUCAACAGUAGUGGGUCUUAAUGCUUGUGCUUGUCCACCCUUCUCGGCAGUGAUUGAUUUCAUUGUUGGCUUGUUUUCAUGACUUGAAUGUGCGAUCUUCAGAGGGCCUAAUUCCUUGCAAGUUCCAUUUGAGGGUGGAAGAGCUAGAACAAGCUAUAACCAGUAGACAACUCCGUGACUCAGGAGCUUAAGCAUGUGACUAAUUAGUAAGAAAAAAUGUGGUGAAGAUUUGUAGUUAAUAAGAAGGAAAGAAGAAUCACUGGGGCUAGAAUUAUGCAAGCUUUUGUUUCCUUUUGGGACUAUAUCAGAACUAUGAGAGAAGAAAGGCUACCUUUUACCUUUGAGGAAUUUUCAAAGCCUUUUUUUUUUUUUUUGGUUGGUUUGUGACUGACAAAGGGCACAAUUUCAACACCUCAGAAAAAUGCCUCAUCAUUUCCUCUUGUGAAAUCUGGGUGCUUCUGAAUGAAUCCAUGUUAGGAAUGUGUACUUCCAUCCAUUAAAGUCAAUGUCCAGUCUCAUUUUGGGCCAGAGGCUGUUACUAAGUUGUAGUACUGGUGAGAAAAGGACAGAGCAUUUACCUUCCCUGGGUAUCCUGUGACCUACAUGUGUCCUUGCAAGGCAGGGAAAUGUUACUAAUUAAGAGCAUAGCCUUUCGUCAGAUGGGUUCAGAUCCUAACACAUCCUCUUUCUGGUUACAGGACAGUCCUCUCUGAGCCUCAGUUUUCUCAUCUCUAAGAUGAGGCUAAUUAUACCUACUUCCCAGGGGGGUACUAAGGAUAAAGUAACAACACAAGAAAAUUUUUUAUCCUUGAUUUUCUUAGCUGGAAAAUUAGGCUAGAAAGACCUCCAUCCUUGGGGUAUUUAAAAUAAAAGGACAAACAUAUGAUGAGUCUAAGUGAUCAAUACAUUGUGGCUUUUGUACUUACUAUUCUGAAACAUGGGUGUGGCCUAGAUACUUUCCAAAAUUCUGCCCUCUCCACCUAGCAAAAUGACAACCAGACUUACAGAUAUGCCAACAAGCUAGUGUUUAAUAAUGGUGUUUGAUGAUAAAUGGCAUUUCUUUUCGACAUUUGUCUCUUUUUAAAACUUGGUGCUCUUAAAUGCAUCAUUGGAUAAGUGAUGACUGUUCCCAUUCGCAAGAAGAGACCUGGAAUCUAAGCAUGAAGGACCUGUCCUGAUGUUGAGAAGUGUGGAUCACAUUUAUUUGUAAACUUAGCUUCUUGCUCGUCUCAUGGUUGCUUUUUUUUCUUUUUCCUUUUUCUUUUUUUUUUUUUUUUUUUUUUUUUUUUUUUUGAGAGGGAGUCUCACUCUGUCACCCAGGCUGGAGUGCAGUGGUGUGAUCCCGGCUCACUGCAACCUCCACCUCCCGGUUUCAAGCAAUUCUCCUGCUUCAGCCUCCCCAGAAGCUGGGAUUACAGGCACGUGCCACCAUACCCGGCUAACUUUUUUUUUUUUUUUUUUUUUUUUUUGGGAUUUUUAGUAGAGAUGGGGUUUUGCCAUAUUGGUCAGGCUGGUCUCGAACUCCUGACUUCGUGGUCCGCCCACCCGCCUCAGCUUCCCAAAGUAUUAGGAUUACUGGCGUGAGCUACCGCGCCUGGCCUUAUGGUUUUUCUCAUUUUUUCUUCCCUUCCUCCCUCGAUUCCUUUGUUCCUUUUACUCUACCAUGCCUACUGUAAAGAAUAAACAAUAGAUUGGAUCUACUCUCAAGAUGCAGGAUAGAGAAAACCAUCAUUUAUUAAAUGGCAUCUACACCGCAGGCUUUGUACCAGGCACACACUCCACUGUUCCCAGUUAUCCCUUACUGCACCCCUAGAGGUAUAUGUUUUCCCAGAAAAGAUAAACAAGUUGCCCAAAGUCACAUAUCACAUAGCUAGCAAGCGAACAUGGGGCUGAAAUAAAACACUGCCCAAUUCCAAAAUCCAUAUACUUGUUUCUUCAUGUUUCCCUAUGAAAAUGGCAAAGGUGAGGAGUGUGUGGUGUGUGUGCGUGUGCGCGUGCAUGUGCGUGUGUGUUUGCACAUGGAAAAUUCCAAAUAUCACAACUUCUCUAUAGACACUAGACUCAUUCUUUGGCUAUGGCUGUGUCCGUUAUCCCAAACUCUAUCUUUACCCCAGUUUUUACACUUGCAAAAGUAGAGAAACUUUAAGGUCCACCAGCUUUUACUAACCUCCCUCUUGCUCUGAUAGCUGUGUAAUAAUUUUUGUAUCCUUCCCAGUGGGUUCCCAGUCUUUUCAUCUGCUAGGACCAUCUGGUAACUCAUCACCAAACAUGGUGCCUGACAGCAUCACUGGUGCCCUGCAAAUGUCCACCUGAUAAAUGAGUGAAUUAAUGAAUGAAUAAGAAAAUGAAGGAUACUGGCUGCCCCUGGCCAACUAUAUCUUGGCUUUGGCUUGUCAUUCUAGAUUUGUGAUACUGGCUUCUAGCAGAAGCUUAAAGCCUCUUUUUUGUUCUUUUGUUCCUCUAAUGUACUCCCCCUGCCCCUCCACCAAGAUGGGAAGGAGGGCUGAUCUGAGCAUUCAGGUUUCAGAAUGCUAAUUGGAUAGCAGCCAAUUAGAAGUAGAUCCGUAAGGAUUUAAUUAGACUUUCUGGGUAGAUUUGGAUAUUGCUUUCAAAAUGAAAAGGCCCCAAAUCCAGGUUCCCCUGGAUUAUAAUAGUUUUAUGGCUCUGCCCUGCUUUAAUUUGAGGCUAGUUGGCAAUACCCUGUCCAGGAAAAAGGAAUCUUCCAUGUAGUCCUGUCUGUUCUACUGAGGUCUACAUUUGGGUUUUAGCAAACAAUUCAGCUAAUAUAUAUUAUUUUUCUUUGUUCUCAAGGAUUUAAUGGCAAGAUGCCAUUAUAGACAAGAACAGGAUUCAGACACUUUCGUGUUAUGUGUUCUUGUCCAAAUACUGUGUCACUCUGCACUGGCAUCCCAAUCCCACCAACACCUUUAGCAGGAACUUCCUGUUUCAAUAACAUUUCUCAAUACUCUACCUGAUUGCUUAGAAUCCAUGAGACAGCCAUAUUCUCCAUGUCUAGGUCCCUAUCUUAUUUUUGUUGAGAUGGUGUUAAGACUUUAUUUGUGAGGCUUCUGGGGAAGAGGAGUAAGGUAUUGAUCCCACUGACUGGAUAAUUUGGGUCUCAAAAUGGAUAAUAAAUAAGCAUUACAUAUUUUGACCACUUCCUUGGAGGAGAACUUCUUGGAAUGUGCACCAUGUCCGCUGCACUUUUUUUGCACAGAUAUCUAAGUUGGAGAAACAUACUACUAGAUAAAUCAAUUUGUUCUCUUAGUACUCAUGAUAUGGUUCCUGGGAACUUCUGAUUCACCAAAUUAAUCUUGGCCAGGUACAUACCUGGCAGGAAUCCAAAAAUUCCCCAAGUCUCCUUGAAGUUCAGGAUCAUCAUUCUUAAUAAAUACACCGAGGGAAAAACCAUGGAGAGUUUGUCCCAGAUGCUGUGAAUCUGGCCCGGGGUACAUGAAGAAGUCCUUAAUUGCAGUCAUUUACAUGGUAGAUUCUCUAUAAUCAUUUAAUUUGCUAUAGGUCUAUGAUUUUUAGUCCUUCUUCUCUAAAUGAUUGAACAUGUAUAAUUCCCAUUUCAAUCAUAUUACCUGGAUGAACAAAAGUAACGCUAGACUCAUUCAUGCAUUCUGGUUGCCAAGGAAAAGGAAAAAAAAAACAAAACAAUCAACAGGAUGUUUAAACUGUCUUAGGGCAACUUCAGGCCAUAGUCACUGGUGUUCUUGCAGACUAUGAGAUAUUUUACAUUCUGAUAAGGGAUAAAAAUUCGUGCCUCACAUGGCUCCCAUCACACUAAGAUCUUGCAACAAUAACACUACUGAUUCAGACAUUAAUCUUAAGUAUCCAGGGAGCCCUAAAACAUUGUAUCCCACUAGCAAGGACCAUGGUAAUUGCCACGUAAAUCCCCUCCAUUAUGUGGCCCUUAUUAUGACCAGCCAGCCAAGGCUUGCCUUUAAAUCAUACCAAUUGAACCGAGCCUUGUAGAAACACUAUCACCUACGCAUACCUCUGCUUCUUUUCAUUAACCUGCUAUCCUCUUUACAAAUGGGAUUCUUCACCCACUCCCUUCUUCUAGAUUAGCAAUGCCCUGUUAAGUAAACGAACACGAAAUUCAAAGGGAAACAGGAGCAAUCAUCAUUACCAGCUGCCGUGUUAAGCAUUGCGAAAACGCUCACGAUUCACAGAAAAAUCCAUGCUGUUCUUUGAAGGCAUUCAAGCCUUAAUAGCUAGCUGGAUGAAUGUUUAACUUCUAGGCCAGGCACUACUCUGUCCCAACAAUAAGCCCUGUACAUUGGGAAAGGUGCCGAGACAUGAACUUUGGUCUUCUCUGCAAUCCAUCUGGAGCAUUCACUGACAACAUCGACUUUGAAGUUGCACUGACCUGGCCAGCCCUGCCACUUACCAGGUUGGCUCUGUAUGGCUAAGCGUUUUCUCCUAAAAUCCCUUGAAAACUGUGAGAAGACCAUAAGAAGAUCAUAUCUUUAAUUCUAUUUCACAAGUCACACAAUAUUCCAAUCAAAUACAGAUGGUUGAGAAAAGUCAUCCAUCUUCCCUCCCCACCCUCCCACAGCCCCUCAACCACUGCCCUGAAACUUAUAUGCUGUUAUCCGCAGCUCCAUCUGGAGCAUCACAGCUACUGUCAACCCUGACGCUCUUUCUGAAAAAACACCGGAUGGACAUCAGAACUAUUUCUUUAAGGAUGUUACUGAGCCACACAGGAAAACUUGCCUUAUGAUUUUGAAUGCACGGAUCUGAUUUGACUAAACAUGAUAACUAGAGAAUCACCCAAUCUACUCCCAUUUUCAACUCUAAAUCAUCAGAGUGUCUCAAAUCCAAAGCACACACAGACCAGCCUGGCCAACACGGUGAAACUCCACCCCUACUAAAAGUAUAAAAAUUAUCCAGGUGUGGUGGCGGGCGCCUGUAAUCCAAGCUACUUGGGAGUCUGGAGGCAGGAGAAUCCCUUGAACCUGGGAGAUGGAGGUUGCAGUGAGCAGAGAUCACACCACCGCACUCUAGCCUGGGCCACAAAUCAACAACAACAACAACAACAAAAAACAAAGCGCACACAGAGACUGAGGUCCUCUUUGGCAUUGAGAAGAUGGCUAUGCAAGUCCCAACUAGCAAGUGCAAACUUCCCAGCUUCACUUCUGCCAGUGUCCCUUCACCCCUUCUCAACCCCACUGGGAGGCAGGAGGGUGCUUGACAAUAACAGCCUUGGCAUCACUCUGCCAGGGUGUAAUAGGAACUGUUACAAUUCUGAGAUUCUGUGUAAGCACUGGCCUUUCUGCCUAGAAUGCCUUCUCCUCUCUUUUUUAACUGCAUGCUCCUAUUUAUCUUUCAAAGCCCGGAAAAAAUAACACUGCACACGGGAAAUGCUCCCUUCCUACUGCAGUCAUUUAGAUGACUCUAUGCCAUUCCAUUCAUUUCUCUUUCCUACCACAGAAGUGCUUUGAGAUUUUGGAGUCAGACUGCUUGAACUUGAAUCCUGGCCCUCUCAUCAGAGACUUGACUUAUUUUAGGCAAGUUAUAUAACCAAUUUUACCUCAGUUCCUUACCCAUAAAAUGGGUCUAAUGAGAGUACCUACCACACAGAAUUUUGAUGAAAACUGAAUGAGAUGAAGGCCUUUAAGGCAGUGGUCCCCAACCCUGGGGACACAGACAGGUACCAUUUUGUGGCCUGUUAGGAACUGGGCCACACAGCAGGAGGUGAGCAGUGGGUGAGUGAGAUCAGCGUUAUUUACAGCUGCUCCCCAUUGCUCACCUUACUGCCUGAGCUCCACCUCCUGUCAGAUCAGCAGUGGCAUUAAAUUCUCAUAGCAGCACAAACCCUGUCAUGAACUGCACAUGCGAGGGAUCUAGGUUGUGCGCUCCUUAUGAGAAUCUAAUGCCUAAUGACCUGUCACCGUCUCCCAUCACCCCUAGAUGGGAGUGUCUAGUUGCAGGAAACAAGCUCAGGGCUUCCACUGAUUCUACAUUAUGGUGAGUUGUAUAAUUAUUUCAUUAUAUAAUACAAUGUAAUAAUAAUAGAAACACAGUGCACAACAAAUGUAAUGUGCUUGAAUCAUCCCCAAACCAUCCCAGUCCACGGUCUUCCACAUUUUGUCUUUUCACAAAAUUGUCUUCCACAAAACUGGUCCCUGGUGCCAAAAAGGCUUGGGACCACUGCUUUAAAGCCUUUGCAUAGUGCUUAGAAUUGAGGGGGAAAAAAAAAACAAAAACAAUGUAGCUAGUUGCUACAAUCACUAUAUUGGUGAGUUUCAAAAGGAAAAGAAUUCUGUCCCAUUUAUGCUUGAGCCUUGAGUUGCUAACCAAGCCUGACACAAAAUUACUGUUGAAGGGAUGUGUGAGUCCUAAUUGAAAUGAGGCCUCUUAAGGGAAUUGUGGACCAAACCCCAAGCAGGCAGAAAGCCGUAUCUUAAUUAUUGCAAGUAUUUCAGGCAAGGUGUGGAUGGCCAUUUGAAUUCAAGCAGACUAGGACCUGGGAUGAGAAAGAAGGUGUGUACGUGACUUGAUCUUUGAACUUUAGCUCACCAUCUGGAAGAAGGCUGAGUAUUCUCUGCACUCACAUAGUAGCUAAUGCCUACUCCCCAGCCACCCACAAUUCUUUCUGUAGGAAGGCUCGCUAGAAUACUUUGUGAUAUUGGAUAUUAGUUCCAUAUUCUACUGUGUAUCUUAGUUCAACCAAAUUGUAAUCAUCUGAUAUUUAUUUCUUUUAAUAUAAAUAUAAGUAUAUUAAGUCUUGGCAUGCUUGCUCAGUCUCUCUCUCUCUCCCAUUCCUCCCCGCUCCCCUCUCUCUUUCCCAACAGGCUUGGAAAGCAGGCAUCACCAUGCCUAUUUAACAGUUGGGGUCCCUUGGCCACCAGGUGCUGGAGUAGGAAUCUGAGCCCGGACAUGCCUGAUCUGUAAAUUUUGUGUUUUCCCCACUGUGCUGGGCAGAUCACAGCUAUCAGCGCCAAAUUCAUAGAAGGGGCGCCCCCUGUGGUCAAUUGAGGGAUUUGUGUUUGAGGUAGAUCUCAAGAAGGAAUGGGUGGGGAACUUAGCCUAGGACAGAGCAGAAAGGAGCCCUCACUCCCCAAGCACCAACGGCCUCAGUCCUUCCUGCUGACUCCAGCCUCUAGCUCUCACCCAGACUAUCUGCAUCCUUCUCUCCACCACGCUCCUUUGGAACCUGCGUAAAACACAGAUUAAAGGAAUUCCGCCUUACUUCCCUUUCCGCAUUAUGACCAAAUGGUUUUACACUAUCAUUGAACAGUUUAGUACAAAACAUGCCACCUUUUAAUCUAUUCAUUCAUUUAACAAAUACUUUGGAGUGUUUACCAUGUGCCAAGUGCUGUUCUAAUAGACAUAAGCUGUGAGGUUAUGCUUAUCUGAUUCUCACAGCAACAGCUUUCGAGAUAUGAAUUGGUAUACUCAUUUGACAGAUGAGGAAAUUGAAUUCAUGUAGUGAGAAAGGAAGAGCUGCAAUUCAGGGUUACUGGUUUCUCCUGCACUAAGCACUGAGCCACACUAGAAGAGAAGGCAUGAGGAAGACAAAAGUGAGAAGGCACUCAGGAAAUAUUAGUUGCAUGAACGAAGGCUGCAUUUUCAUUAGAACAACAUGCAGUUCAACCCCUUCAUGUUUCAAUGAGGGUUCAGAUACCCAGAGGGCUAUGCUAUCAUCCUGGAGCCCACUCUGCUAACAAUUAGCAGAACGGAAGCCUUAAUUUCCAGAUUCUAGUGAACUUGAUGAGUCAAGACUAUUGCAAUUGGAAAUCUGUUCUCCUCUGCUGCUGCAUUCCCUGCUUAAUACUCAAGCCAGAAACCAGGAAGGUAUGUGCCACAAAGUAAAGUGGGAUUCAGGACAAUUAUCCAUCAAGACUUUGUUACAGAUAUCCAAAGCAGGCAAUUCAAGACCCAGCUUGACUUUACUGUCUCCAUUGUGGUGGUUAAUGGAGACAAAUUCAAUUCAAAUAUGUGCACGUGGAUUUCUUUGUUUCUCUGAGGUUUGACUUAUCUGCCAAAAGAGAGAAACACAGAAAGAGGGGAGAAACAGGAGAGGGGAAAGAGAGAGGAGAGAGAAACCAAGGAAAUGUGACAUAUAAUAAUUUUUUAAAGAAUAUUUUUUCAUUUUUUUAUUGAGGUAUAAAAUACAUGUAGUAAGGUAUGUCAAUAACUCAAAUCUUAUGUGAUUUUUUUAUGUACAUGUAUACCUGUGUACACCUGUGUAACCACUACCUAAGUCAAGAUAGAGAACAUUUUAAUCAUCUUAAAAGAUUUCCUGUGUCUCUUCCCACCAAUACCUGCUGAUGAGCCCACUCUCCUUACAGCUAUCAGCAGAGUUGUUUUACCUGUCCUUGAACUUAAUAUAAAUGUAAUUAUACUGUAUAUGCUCUUUUGUGUCUGAUUUCUUUCACCCAACGUACUUGUUGGUUUAGUCCAUGUUGUGUAUAUCAGCAGUUUGUUUUUGUUAAGUAGCAGUGUUCCAUUGUAUAAAUGGACCAUAUUUUAUCCUUCAUGUUAAUGAACAUUUGAAUUGUUUUCAUGUUCUUGUUAUGAAUCAACAUGGUUAUGAAUAGUUUGGUUAUGAAGAGUUUUACACAUGUUUUUAGUCUAUUUUGUUUCUCUUAAAUAUAUACUUAGUCACGGGAUUACUGGUCAUAUAGUAUAGGCAGGCAGAUGUUCAGCUUUAAUUGACACAACCAACUGUUUUUGAAAGGGGUUGAG